This is a non-coding RNA of Oncorhynchus mykiss (rainbow trout), 1641 nucleotides long. Lineage: Eukaryota; Metazoa; Chordata; Actinopteri; Salmoniformes; Salmonidae. The record is from RefSeq and is a predicted model, not a curated record.
GAUAUUGUUUACUUCCGGUGGUAGAGGUCAGAUUAGAUUUUUCGGGUUUCGGUGUCGUUUUUUUUUCGUUCUCGUCGAGGUGUUUAUUGUUGUAAAAAAAUUGCUUAUUAAUAAUCGGUAAUCAUGUCAGACGAUGAUUUAAUCGGACCUGCUUUACCCCCGUCGUUCAGAAAAAGCAGCAAUGAUGAAUCUGAUGACGAGGAAGGAUUUGCAGGUCCUGCGCUGCCUCCCGGAUACAAACCGGAGUUGCUCUCCAGCUCGGAGGAUGACUUUGGCCAAGAGGAGGUGGAUGUGGUGAUCAAGAGACGAAACAAGACGAGCAGCAGACACGGUCACGGUAGCGGGACGACCAAGGAUGGACCCACCGCAGAAAAACAACACAGAGUGGAAGAGGCGGUGAGUAGAAGGCUUGAGGAUGAUGAUGAUGAUGAUGGUUUCUUCGGACCAGCUCUUCCUCCUGGGUUCUCAAAACCACAGGCUUCACCAGAGAGGCCAGGUGUAUUGGGCCCAGCCUUACCCCCGGGAUUUCACAGACUGGCAUCUGAUGAUGAUGAAGAUGAUGAUGGUGAGGAUGAUUUCCCUCGGCCAGCCCUGCCACCGGGCUACACAGCAGAACCCUCCAGCGGUGAUGAAGAGGAGGAGGAGGAGGAUGAAGAGGUGAUCGGACCCAUGCCUGCUCUUGGUGCCAUCCGGGACUCCGUGGCUCUGGACAUCGAACGCAGAGCUCAGAAGAUGAAGGACAGACUGACAGGAGCAGAUAAUGGUCCGGAGGACGUGGUGCGAGAGACCUGGAUGACAGAGCUUCCUCCAACGCUGCAGCACAUCGGGCUGGGGGCCAGAACCUUCAAGAAGAGGGCUGGACCGGAGAGCAAGGACCGAUCCCUCUGGACCGACACCCCUGCUGACCGAGAACGCAAACUCAGGGAACGACUGGAGGGAAAGGAGAGUGAAGAAACAGAACCGGUCCCUCAACUGUCUCACAAAGAGUUACAGAUGGCUGAGAAAGUGUCCAAAUACAACGAAACGAAGCGUGGCGAGUCUCUGAUCAGUCUCCACGAGAAGCAGAUGAAGAAGAGGAAACUGGACGAGGGCGCCAAGCCGGUGGAGAGACGAGCGUUUGACAGGGACCAGGACUUGCAAGUCAACAAGUUUGACGAGGCUCAGAAACAACGUCUGUUGAAGAAGUCCCAGGAGCUCAACACACGCUUCGGACACAGCAAGGAGAAAAUGUUCCUCUGAGACGAUCCACACACACACAGUAGCUAAUGGAUUGGGCAUUUUUUUGGUCACCUGAGCCAGUCAAUGAGUGACGGGAACGUUCCAGGUUGACUGUUUAUUGCAGUCCAACUACUCAGAUGAUCAGAACACAUUGUACUGAAUGUGAUCUGAGCAGAACAGGUCGUAUAACUUAUAACUUGUAUGUUUUUUGGUCACCUGAGCCAGUCAAUGAGUGACGGGAACGUUCCAGGUUGACUGUUUAUUGCAGUCCAACUACUCAGAUGAUCAGAACACAUUGUACUGAAUGUGAUCUGAGCAGAACAGGUCGUAUAACUUAUAACUUGUAUGUGUUUUUUAAUAAAAGUGUGAAUAUCAGUUUGAUAGUUACAUUUUAGUCGUCACUCUUAUCCAGAGCGACGUAGU